Scleropages formosus (Asian bonytongue) is the source of this 1841-nucleotide long non-coding RNA. The record is from Ensembl. NCBI's taxonomy places the organism in Eukaryota, Metazoa, Chordata, Actinopteri, Osteoglossiformes, Osteoglossidae.
AGACCGACAGCAUUAUUCCCCUCCUGAUACCAAUAAACCGUUCGAAAUAAACGCUGCUAGGCUCUGCGUCCUUCUCGAACGCAUCCAAACCCACUGCGCUGCGCGCCACAUCCUGUUACAGACAUGAUUUACAUUACUCAUUUGAGCAAUCUUGGCACCGCGUGGGAGCUCAGGGUGUGUGAGAUGCACGGAUUUAUUGGAGGGACGAACCGGAACAAAGAAAAAGCGAAACUAAAAGCAGAGGCGCACGAGCAGCGGACAAGGACGCGCGCGGUUAGAGGUAACGUCUUCUCUCGCCGCGUUCCCACGUGCGCGCGGAGUCGCGCAAAUCUCGGGGGGGGUCUCGAGCGUCGGCUUUCUCGCGCUGCGUGGCAAGCGCAGGCUCGCGGCGAUGUGCCGCGGAUGCCCUCGUGCGACACUUCGAGUGCGGAGCGUAAUUGCAGAGAGGGACAGACGUCUGAGACGGACACGGUGUGCAUAGGGAUGGUCCUUUGUUAUUCAGCACAAGGAAAUUAUGAACACUAUUUUGAAAUACUGGAGGAUUUAUUGCCAGCAGAUUAUAUGUUUAAGAAGCCAGAAAGCAGAAACUGUGUUGACAAGAAAUGCAACUGUUCUGAAGUGACUGAAAUACUUUGCUGUUUCCUCCAGAGGGAGCAAACUAGAACAUGCAAAAAAAAUUGCAUGCUCCCUAAUUGUGCGACAUGUUGUAACUACACUCAUAAUCUCCAGGAAAACAUAAAGGGACUGCUUAAUGGGAUGAUUUCCUGUCAUGAAUGCAAAGAGCUCAAUUGUACUCUCCUUAAAGAAACACAGAUGGUCAAUUUCACAGAAUUCAGAAGGAAAUAUAAAGAAUGCCAAGACGAGCGGCAAAACUGUACAGUUACACCCACACCAAGGAAAGCUCUGGAAUUCUCCACGGGCACUAUGGGCACUACAAACACUACGAGCAGUACGAACAUUAUGAGCACUACGAGCGCUACGGGGAAUACGAACACUAUGGGGACUACGAGCACUAUGAGCACUAGAAGCACUACGCGGACUACGAACACUACGGGGAUUACAAACACUACGAGCCCUACGAGCACUACGAGGAGUAUGAACACUACGAACACUACGAGCCCUACGAACACUACGAGCCCUACGAACACUACGAGCCCUACGAACACUACGAGCCCUACGAACACUACGAGCCCUACGAACACUACGAGCACUACGCGGACUGCGAACGCUACGGGGACUACGAAGACUACGAGCGCUACGGGGACUACGAGCACUACAAGCAAUAUGCCGCGAGUGAGCACGAUAUUGUAUCCAAGCAGUCCAGCCUCCAGCAAACCAGAACCUUCCUCCACAAGUCUUACAACAGAAUUGCAAACAACAGAUUCAACAGUAACAACGACAAAAUCCCCAACGACAUCCAAAUCACAGUCAGGUAACGGAACCCUGUGCAGUCCGCAGCUCCCAGGAACUGAAAUGUCUAACAUUUUGAAAGCUUCACAAGCAGGUGUGAUUUCAUCACUGACUGCAUUCAUAAUCCUCGUACUGCUUGUAUGCUACCUCUACCUUGAAAACAGACGACUGAAAAGACUGAUGGACUCCGCUGCUGGCAGUGAAGUCGUGUGUAUUUCAGUUCUACGAGAAGGUGACCGUAAUAUCCAGAAUUCUCCAGAGACUGAGGAGUGAACAAAUAAGCUGAUAGUGAAAGUAAAGGGAAGACUGACUGAAACAAGCCUCUGGAAACACUGAUGAAGCUGAUGCUGUGAUAUGUACAGUAGUGGGGAAAAGAACCAUGUAUUCCUGCAUGUUUAAUAAAUGCUGCUGAAAUUGCUAAUAUUGUUACA